Molecule: ribosomal RNA, 467 nt
Filed under: uncultured bacterium
Lineage: Bacteria
Description: partial 16S ribosomal RNA
Rfam family: Bacterial small subunit ribosomal RNA
Source: RNAcentral
GACGAACGCUGGCGGCGUGCUUAACACAUGCAAGUCGAACGGAAAGGCCCUGCAUUUGUGGGGUGCUCGAGUGGCGAACGGGUGAGUAACACGUGAGUAACCUGCCCUUUACUUUGGGAUAACUUCAGGAAACUGGGGCUAAUACCGGAUAUGAACUCCUGCUGCAUGGUGGGGGUUGGAAAGUUUCGGCGGUUGGGGAUGGACUCGCGGCUUAGCAGCUUGUUGGUGGGGUAAUGGCUUACCAAGGCUUUGACGGGUAGCCGGCCUGCGAGGGUGACCGGCCACAUUGGGACUGAGAUACGGCCCAGACUCCUACGGGAGGCAGCAGUGGGGAAUAUUGCACAAUGGGCGGAAGCCUGAUGCAGCAACGCCGCGUGCGGGAUGACGGCCUUCGGGUUGUAAACCGCUUUCGCCUGUGACGAAGCGUGAGUGACGGUAAUGGGUAAAGAAGCACCGGCUAACUACGU